This 253-nucleotide ribosomal RNA is filed under the name uncultured bacterium. Its description in RNAcentral is "partial 16S ribosomal RNA". It matches the Rfam family "Bacterial small subunit ribosomal RNA", at positions 524 to 776 of the family's 1533-position model. The record is from RNAcentral.
UACGAAGGGUGCAAGCGUUACUCGGAAUUACUGGGCGUAAAGCGUGCGUAGGUGGUUGUUUAAGUCUGCUGUGAAAGCCUCGGGCUCAACCUGGGAAUUGCAGUGGAUACUGGGCGACUAGAGUGUGGUAGAGGACAGUGGAAUUUCCGGUGUAGCAGUGAAAUGCGUAGAGAUCGGAAGGAACAUCUGUGGCGAAGGCGACUGUCUGGGCCAACACUGACACUGAGGCACGAAAGCGUGGGGAGCAAACAGG